UUCUAAUAAAGUAUAAAGAAAAAAUUGAGGUUGAAAGAUCAAUAUGAGAAAAUUUCAAUAAUUUAAUUUUUUUACUUGGGGGUGGUAAUCCCAAAUUCCAAUAAUUUAAGGCACAAAGAAAGAUGUCUAUUACUGUCAGGAGUUGGGAGUUGGGCCAAAGAAAGACGGAUUUGUUUCCGAACGAGUUUAAAGAAUUGGAGCCUGUUAGCAUCUUGUUUGUAACGUUUAAAAUUUUGGAGAGAAGUGUUGAAAUUAGGUUAUUGGGUCAUCUUAAUGAGGUUAUAAUUGCUAUUUGAUUCAAACAAAAAAUGUAUGUAAAUAUGGAUGCUGUGUGGAAUAAGAACAAUUUGUGGAAAAGUAGAAAUGAUGGGUUGGAAAGAAAGUGAAAAACAACUUUGGAUAAAAUCAUGUCAAUAUGAAGCCAUCACCAGGUCAAUUAAUACUGAGAGAAGGUGGAAUAGAACUAAUGAAAUAAUAUAAAUCUGCUCUUUAACAACAUUACCUAAAAAUACAAGUAGUAAAUUCCAAUUUGAUUUCGUUAAAAUCAAUGAGGUUAAGGCCGUAUAGAACGUGUUUAUGGUCAACAAAAAAUUGAAUUUCUACUACUAUGCGUCGACAAAAAGGAAUCACAAGUCAAAGAUCUCCAACGUAUAAAAUGUAAUCCCUCAGGGACUAUAGAAUACUAAAUUAAUUAUUAUGAUGAAUGGACUAUAAGUGUGAAUAAGAAAAAUAUUGAUGACAUGCAACAAAUUCCAAUCUAUACAUAUAAGGAGACGUUAAAGAAUUAUUAUUAUUGAGAAAAGAAGAAUUUUACAUUAAGAUUAAGAUCUAUUUUAUAAAUAGUUAA
Non-coding RNA from Onthophagus taurus, 847 nucleotides. NCBI's taxonomy places the organism in Eukaryota, Metazoa, Arthropoda, Insecta, Coleoptera, Scarabaeidae. The record is from RefSeq and is a predicted model, not a curated record.